Vulpes vulpes (red fox) is the source of this 1721-nucleotide long non-coding RNA. The record is from Ensembl. Lineage: Eukaryota; Metazoa; Chordata; Mammalia; Carnivora; Canidae.
UCGUGGAUUCUGAAAUUUGAAUCUGAAAGAAUCAAGAAUCUGAAAUUUGAAGCAUCUUAACAACUGAUGGCAUCUUACAACUGCAGUGACUGUGAUGGAAGUCUGAUUUCUUCCAGGGAAUACCUGCAUUUGCUUCUGUCAGAACCUGGGACACUCCAAGCAGAGGCUACUUCAGAAUGAAUUCUAUGCCUGCUAGUGUGGACUCCAUCCACUGAGUGACCGGAACACUGUUUUGUGGUACACAGCCUCAUGGAAGUCUUAUUUUCUCUCUGCCCCAUGUCUCCAGAUGGAGGCAGGCAGGUUUCCCCACCGACCUUUCUGCACAGCAGUUAUUUCUCUUUACUUUCACCCAGAGCAUGACUCUGGUGCCCCAGUUUUAUGUGCAGGUCUCCUGUUAGACUCUCCACCUUGGGCAUUUUUUAAUUUCUAAGUUGUGUUUAAAUCGAUGCUAUAUAAAAUAAUUGUUUGCACUUUAUCUCUAUGAUACGGUAAUUCCAUUUGCAUAUUUGAAAAAUGAAGGUGUUAGUUCAGAACCUGUGGGCAGAGGUGAGUGAAGGAACAGUAAAGAGGCGCCUACAAAUGCCUGUUGAUUAAUUCACUGGUUGAUUGGUCCUGACCCUACAUCUCUCGGAAUUAGAUUCUCAAUCGAUCCACUUUAUUCUGAAUCCAAAUCUCAGGUGAGCAGGCUUUCAAAGAGGUACGCAUAGCUCGAUAUGUCAACUCGAGACAACAAAUGACAUUUAACUUAUCAUUUCAAUCAUCGCAUCAGGGAUGGAAAGAGAGAAGUUGGGACUGUCCUGCGAGCACGUCUCAGGGCAGAGCAGAGGCCAGGUGGCUCCUCACCUUCCACCUCCAGCUCAGCUCAGCUCAUGAGGCCAAAGGCCCUCAGAUCCCCCAGCUCCACCCAACUGGUUUUAAAAUUCCUUUGCACUUGUUAUGCUUUGAGGGUUCUUUUGGAGAAAACCACAACUUUGAAUACUCAUCAGCAAUUCCACGCUCAGCCACAGGGAUGAAUCCCACAGGGCUCCUGCUGCAUGGAUCCAUUUGGAAGUCUCACCUGAGGGGAGGACCGUCUAUCCAGGCCUCUCGAUCUGUGCUUCAGCCUGGCUGUCUCCAUGGGGCUUCCCUGGUUGGAUGUUUUUUCAGGGCCCCAGUCACGUAGGCCCAAGCCUACGAAGGUAAAGGAACAAGUUUUUCCACCCCUACAAAGACCUACGGAGACCAUCAGCACUUGCUGAUCUGGGCAGAAGCACAAGGCAGGCAGAGAGAUUGAAGUGGCCGAAGUGACGAGUCCAGACAAGCCAGGACCAAGCAUUGUCUGGAGCAGCCGAGUCUUCAUAGCAGCAGCCCCAGCUGAAGGAGGAGCUCACGUUCAUUCUCGAAAAGACAGCUGGUUGUGCAAUCACAGGGCUGCUGCCAGGGGCCGGGAGCAGAGCUGUCCACGGAUGACCUUCCUUCCAGGCCCCGCAGCCCCCUGCGGAGGGCUGGCUCUGUUCUCUCUCCUCCUGUCUCCUUAGCUAACCUGGAGGAGCCUCAUGAACACAUGUACAAUAAGAACUCUCCAGUUCUACAAUUCUAGAAUUACACCCACCAAGCACAGUAAAAACUCAUUAAUGCAGACCACUUGUUCCAAGUUUCUAAUUAUUCCUUUUGGACUAAGCUUAAGUUUAUUUUGCUCAGCAAAAUUUUAUUAUAGAUAGCUCAAAUUAAAGAGAGAAUAA